This 1870-nucleotide unclassified non-coding RNA is filed under the name Anneissia japonica. RNAcentral describes it as "thyroid receptor-interacting protein 6-like, transcript variant X1". Lineage: Eukaryota; Metazoa; Echinodermata; Crinoidea; Comatulida; Comatulidae. The record is from RNAcentral.
CUUUAGGUUGGCUCAGGGCCGGCUUAAAAUUUAUUGUUCAGACUUAAAAAAUGACGUAACUCUUAAGUGUGAUUUGGGUCUAUGAAAGUCUAUGUGUGCCAGCAGUUACUGUAAUGAAGGUGAAGUUGGAAUUUAAAAAAAAGUUCAGUUGGAAUAUGGUACACAGCUGGCAAAGGAAUGCCAUGGAAUAGGUAUAGCAUAUUAUGUGAUAAAGAAAUAGUAUUGCUAUUUGACUGUGGUGCAUACACUUGCCCCCGACACCUGUAAGGUGUGAUGUCCUCUGCCUGCGCAUUUUGACUAGCAAUAUGUUUACCAUGUGUCAUAAUUUUUUUGGAGAUGGUGUAAAUAAUGAAAUCUUAUAUUAAGAUAUAAUAGAAAGAGUUAUUAAUAUUUAAAGUCUGUAAAAUUACAAAAAAAAAAGGAUUAGUUUUAGGACAUUGCGCUAUUCUGCAAAUUGAUUUUCUACUAGAUGAAUUUUUAUAUUUUUUAGAAAAAAUCUGGAAGAUAAGGCGAGACUUGGUUUAUUCCUUGUUUUGCGUACUCUCGUGUGUUUUCUUAUUUAGCAAAUAGUUUUGCCAAAAUCAUCCAGACGGAGGAGAAAAUAAAAAUAAAAUAAGAUGGUUAAAUGCUUCAAAUUUAUAUAAUUAAGAAGAAAUACAUAUCUUAUCCUUGGAGAUUUCAAGGCUGCAGAGGGCGUAAUAAAAAUAUAGAAAUAUCUUUUAUUUUUCUCUGAAAUUGCACUUUUUGGUGGCGACGGGUAUGCUAAUUGGCCAAAAAUAAAAUUUUGUUUUUAUUUGAAAUAAUCAGUAUUUGCAGUCGGCGGGUUCGCAAGGUAUAAAAAGUCCCGCCUAAGAGUUAAUAUUCGGUGAAUACACUACACUUUAAUAAAAGAUUCAAAUGAAUAGAGCAGUGUUAUGUCAAAGCUGUUUUCCAGAACAUUGUAUAUGUCAGAUUAUUAUAAAGUUGCUAAUUGCUUUAAUGUCAAAUGGUUAGUUAGUUUUAUUGCCUUUAGAUGAGGUGUUUGUCAUAUGGUCGCUAUCGUUCCUCCAGUCUGUCGCCCCUCAUCCAACCGGCCGGCCAGCAGCUGCUUAGCUAGCUAGUUUAAUCAAUUUCAGUUGCCUAAAGCUGUGUAUCGAUAUACAAGGUUUCUUUGCUGGAAUAGACUGCUACAGCUAUCUACUUAAAACUUAAAUAUGAGUCUUUGUGCACAAUGCGGCCUGAAGGUUGUCGGAGAGGACUCGGGGUGCACAGCUAUGGACCGUGUGUUCCAUGUUGCAUGCUUCACGUGUGAAAACCUGUCACACCAAGUUACGUGGACAACCAUUCUAUGCUAUGGAGUCUAAAGCUUUCUGUGAGAACUGUUAUAUAUCGUCUCUUGAGAAGUGUUCCACUUGCUCCAAGCCAAUCACUGAGCGGAUCUUGCGAGCAACAGUAAAACCUUACCACCCUGCUUGUUUCACCUGUGUUGUGUGUGGCGAGAGCCUUGAUGGUGUUCCAUUUACUGUCGAUAGUCAAUAUUUGUUUUAUAUACCUCAUGCAUAGAGGCCUAAAAAAAUAGUUAGUUCCUAGCCGGUUAUAUUAGGGGCAUAAUGAUACUAGACGUACUACUACUAGGCGUAGGCCUACUCGACUAGAUCUCGAGAUCCUCCUUCAUCUCAAAAUGAGCACCCUCCAUAUUUGUUUAUCGCCUACUCGCUAAUCCGUGAUGCGGUCAGGGGAUAACUUUGUGGUGGAGGUCGCCGUCCCCCUUACCGUCAGCAGCGCGAUGUAGUGGGCCUAGAGUUUGCACGUUGCGACAGGUCAAAAAAGUACUGUUUUUGAGGGGAAUAGUACUUUUUGAUGGGAAUAGUACUUUUUAUUGCCCCGCUUA